UGGGGAAUAUUGCACAAUGGGCGAAAGCCUGAUGCAGCGACGCCGCGUGAACGAAGAAGUAUUUCGGUAUGUAAAGUUCUAUCAGCAGGGAAGAAAAAAUGACGGUACCUGACUAAGAAGCUCCGGCUAAAUACGUGCCAGCAGCCGCGGUAAUACGUAUGGAGCAAGCGUUAUCCGGAUUUACUGGGUGUAAAGGGAGCGUAGGCGGUCUUAUAAGUCUGAUGUGAAAGCCCGGGGCUCAACCCCGGGACUGCAUUGGAAACUGUAGGACUAGAGUGUCGGAGGGGUAAGUGGAAUUCCUAGUGUAGCGGUGAAAUGCGUAGAUAUUAGGAGGAACACCAGUGGCGAAGGCGGCUUACUGGACGAUUACUGACGCUGAGGCUCGAAAGCGUGGGGAGCAAACA
Molecule: ribosomal RNA, 404 nt
Filed under: uncultured bacterium
Lineage: Bacteria
Description: bacterial SSU rRNA
Rfam family: Bacterial small subunit ribosomal RNA
Source: RNAcentral